This 206-nucleotide long non-coding RNA is filed under the name Physcomitrium patens. Its description in RNAcentral is "long non-coding RNA (PPAT_LNC012907)". The record is from RNAcentral. Lineage: Eukaryota; Viridiplantae; Streptophyta; Bryopsida; Funariales; Funariaceae.
CAUUUGAAAAUCAAGUAAAUGAAGAAGAAAAUAAAAUAAAACUACCAACGGCUAUCAGAAAAGAGAUUGCAAAUUUUAAAAUUAACCUCUAUUGUGGAAGUGCAUUUGCACUGUUGAACAUGAGUGCCUUGAGAGUUUCAAGGCUUCUCAGAGUGGAAUACCUGCAGCGUCUCCCUGCAAUUUGCAGCUAACAGGCGAAUGCAGCU